CGAAACGAGAGGAAAAGGCACGGACGUGUUUUUCUUUUUGCUACGGUUACUAAACUCUUGUUUUCUUUUUUUCAGCUUCUUCCGACCCCCUUCAGAAGAAAGGGCUUAACUUAGGUACUGAUGGACUUGGAGCGGAAGGAUACCGAUGACUUAAGAUACAAUGUAUUGCAAUUGCUAAUCAAUCACCCAAAUGGUCUCAAAUUUGGGGACUUCAGUGCAGCUUUUUAUCAGAUCCAUAAUUUUCAUCCCAAAUUCUCUCGUUACGGGUAUUGUUCACUCAGACAAUUGCUCGACCACAUGAAAGAAACUGUAGUUGUAGAAGGCAAAAGAUCAUGUGGCUCAGUAAUGAAGCUAGUAAGUGGUUUAAAUCUUGAUGGCUUGCUAGAUGAAAUAGAAAACAGUGGACUGGACAGUUUUGAAGAGGAAGAUUCAAGAUUGAAGAAGGAAGAAGGAAGAGAAAGAGGGGAAGAUACAGCUGCAGCAGCAGCAGAUCUGGCUGAAGUCUUAGCAGCAAUUACCAAUCUUCUAAUAGAAUAUGAGUCGGGUUUGAAGUUUGAGAAAAUCCAAACACUAUUGCUCUCCACAAUUGGAAUUGAUCUACAGGCAUUUAUCAUCACCAAAGGCUAUAAGGAUAUCCUAACCUUUUUGGGUGACCAGAUACCUAAGCUAAUCAUCAGACAUCGAGAGAACCUUCACAGAUGUGUUGUCCAACUCUCUGAAGAUUUAACAGUUGUAUCAGUGCCAAUUUGUGACAUCUUGAAAUUAUAUCCUGAUGGCUUGAAGUUGUCAAAAUUAAAAGAGGCGGUGAAGAAGAAAUGUGGAUAUGACCUGGAAGUAUUUUGUUAUCAGGUUGGCUUUUGCGACAUACUUUCAUGCCUCCAGGAGAUUCCUAAGCUGAUAAUAAACAGGAAUAAAAGCAGGAAUUGUAGGAUUCAACUUAAGCCAGGUUACUCAAGCUGCUCUUCAUCCCGAUCCAGCCAUUCUCCUGAUUCAGAACAGCCUAUCUGCACAUCAAAGAAAGUAAAGCAAGCUGCAUCUGAAAAGAAGCCUGGUGAGUUUGAUCUGAUUCACUUAACAACUGCCAUUUUUGUGAAUAUGGCCCUUGUAG
Molecule: long non-coding RNA, 1108 nt
Filed under: Notechis scutatus (mainland tiger snake)
Lineage: Eukaryota; Metazoa; Chordata; Lepidosauria; Squamata; Elapidae
Description: lncRNA (ENSNSUG00000011981.1)
Source: RNAcentral